Long non-coding RNA from Panicum hallii, 2530 nucleotides. RefSeq lists it as uncharacterized. The transcript has 4 exons. The record is from RefSeq and is a predicted model, not a curated record. NCBI's taxonomy places the organism in Eukaryota, Viridiplantae, Streptophyta, Magnoliopsida, Poales, Poaceae.
GCAGCAGCGGAGGAGCAGCGCUUGGGCGGGCACGGGCUGCCGGGUGUGGCCGCUGGCAGGGCCGGCCUGCGCCUGGGCGGUCGUGCGCGGGGAUGGGCGACUACCUGCGCAGAGGAGCGCCACGGGGCGGGAGCGGGGCUGGGCGGCCGCGCGCGCUUGGGCUGCACCGCAGGCCUCCUCCGCCGCGCGCUGGGAGGAGCGGCGGCGGGCGCCGAGCUAGCCGCGUGCCUCUUCCACCGUGCGCUGCCGCGAGCGUCGGGCCACGCUGCGCGCUGAGAGGGCGGCCGCAGUUGCCUGGCCGCCUGCUGAGAAGUCUGGCUGUGAGAGCCGUGCCGGCUGCGCGAGGGCCGGCCAUCGGCGGGAGGAGCGGCGGCUGUUUUUGUCCUCCGGUUUUUACUCCUCCGGCCACUCCGGCUGCCUGAAUGCAGAAUGUGUCUUCAGCUAUGCAAUCCUCAAAGAAUGUUCAAUCUGAAUGACAUUGCAGUAGGCACGAACAUUAGUACGGCCAGUUAAGUCAAUUUCGAUACCUAAAGAAGCUAACUGCAUCUUGAGUUAAUGAGAUUGAAGGAUUCAUUCAUGGUGGAGCAGCUCAACUCUGGUUACCCUGUCUUGAAAGCUUGGUUUUGUCCUAUUGAUAAGUUGGUCCAUCAGAAUAUCCAUUGAUGAUGCUCUUAAGAUCCUGAAAGUACCAUUUAUAUCCAUUUCGAACCCAAACCAUGGGAAAGAUUUGUCCAAUAAGUUUAUUUCAUGUGUUUAAUUGAUCAGUGAAGCAUUAACAUAUAAAUGAUAAAGUCUGCUUAUCCUUUGCUAAUUAGUAGCACCACUGUUUGCUUAUCCAAAGUAGUUUCAGAAAGUUAUAUAUUAAUGGCUCAAGUUCUCAAAUGAAGGGGAAAAUAUGUUUACAUGUCAUUCAAUGAGCAUGAACAAUGCCUGUCUAUCAUUUGUGUAUUUUGCAUCUCCUUUUCCCCAUUCUAUGUUCCUGCAUACCAUUGGUACUGUCUUCCAGUUUAGUGAGAAAUAAAUUAUACUUUCUGUGGAUUUUCUAAAUUUACUGAUGAAUUUCGACAAUGUUCCUAGGAAAGGCAAAACAUGGAAUGACAACAGCUGAGGAACCAAGGAGCCCUAUUAAAACAUGUGCUCCCAGUUCUGAUUAAAUUUAUGCUUAGAACUUAGAAAUUGAAUCAGCCUUUUGGAAUUAGCUUCUUCAUUCCAGUUCGGACAAUGAUUAAGCACAAAAGCAAAAGAGAAUAUUGCCAAAAUUUGCCACAGCAUUUUGCAGACUUCGAGGUGCUACGAAAAAUAUGGACACAACCUUUGCUGUCGGAGAUAAAUUGGUUCUGGGGAAGAGAAUAUACGUAUCUAAGCAAGCAGGACCCCCUUCUGAUCCACGGCAAUAGAUAUAUGAGUGAGCAGAGAUGGGUGGUACCUCUACGCGCGCAGGGGCGAAGGCCAAACACUGGUUACGAAGGAGAGACGGAGCGUCCGGGCGCUAGUUUUUCAAAAAAAAAAAAUCAUGCCUCCGAGCUCCACGGACCCAUCGAGCCGGCCGCGCGGGCAAGCUCGUGCUGGCCGCACGACCAAGCUUCGUCAAGCUCCAUCAGCUGUGCUGAGCCAGCCGCGCAUACAAGCUCUGCUGACUGCGCUGAGCUGGCCGCGGGUGCGUGGCCGAGCUCCUCUGACCGCGCCGACCUGGCCGCAGGAGCGAGCUCCGCCGUCCGCAUCGUACUGCUUCGAGCCAGCCAUGCGGACGAGCUCCACCAGAUGCACUGAGCUGACCGUGCGUAUGAGCUCCACCAACCGCAUUGGAGCUGGUUGCACGGGCGAGCUCCGCUGGAUUCACGGAGCCAGCCACGCCGACGAGCUCCAUGAGCCAGACGCAUAGGCAGGCUCUACCGACCGCACCGAGCUUCGUCGAGCUCCACCGGAUGCACUGAGCUGGCCGCGCGUAUGAGCUCCGCCGCCUCCGCCGACCUAGCCGUGCAGGUCAGCUCGACGAACCGGCCGCCCCGUGCAGGCGAGCGACAAGCAGGCCGCAUAGGCAAGCUCCAUCGACCGCUUCGAGCUAGUCCCACGGGCGAGCUUCGUCGAGCUCCACUGGAUGCACUGAGCCGGGUGCGCAUAUGAGCUCCGCUGCCUGCGCCGAGCUAGCCGCGCAGGCGAGCUCGACGAGCCGGCUUCCCCCAUGCAGGCUCGCUCGACAGGCCGGCAGCAUGGGCAAGCUCCAUCGACCGCGCCGAGCCAGCCGCACAAGGGAGCUUCGUCGAGCUCCGCCGGAUGCACUGGGCUGGCCGCACGUACGAGCUCCGCUGCCUGCGGUGAGCUGGCCACGCCGCACGGUCGAGCUCCGCCGGAUGCACUGAGCCGACCGGACAGGCGAGCUCCAGUGACCGCGCGGAGCCGGCCGCAUGGGCGAGGUCCCCUGGCCGCACCCAGCCGGCCGCGCGCAGGCUCGGGUGGUUUGCCGAUAGUGAGGAGAUGCCGAGGAGUGAGAAUUUGAUAAAUAUUUGAUUGCGGUUCGUAACUGAUUCAC